RNAcentral lists this small nuclear RNA (106 nucleotides) under Castor canadensis (American beaver). Lineage: Eukaryota; Metazoa; Chordata; Mammalia; Rodentia; Castoridae. The record is from RNAcentral.
GUGCUCACUUCUCAGCACAUAUACUAAAAUUGGAACCACACAAAGAAGAUUAGCGUGGCCCCUGCACAAGGAUGACAUGCAAAUUUGUGAGGCAUUCUGUAUUUUU